AACCAGGAAAGUUAAGUCAUAUUUCUAACGGUAAAAAGAUAGUUAAAUAAGCACAAAAGUUUAUUUAUUAUUUAUAAAGAGGUAAAAUUUUUAUAUAAAUAUAUAAUUUAAUUUUAACUUAAGUAUUGAAGCUAUGAUAGCCUUGAGGGAAACCGGGAUCAGAUACCCCGUUAUUCUUGGCUGUAAAUAAAUAAUGAUUUACCAGAGUACUACGAAGCAUAAAAGUUUAAAACUCAAAGAGCUUGGCGGUGUUUUAGACCCUUCAGGGGAACCUGUCUCGUAAUCGAUAAUCCACGUUAGACCUGACCUUUUUUUGCCCUCAGUUUGUAUAUCGUCGUCGAAAGGUAACUUUUAAGAAACGAUUAGUUAGCAACAGAAUUAUGUAAGUUUAGACGUCAGAUCAAGGUGCAACUUAUAAAAAGGGGAAGAUGGGUUACAAUUAUUUAAUUAUAAUAACGGAUUAAUACUUGAAUAAGUAUUUUUAAGGAGGACUUGAAAGUAAAUUAUAUUAUAUAAAUAUUUUGAA
This 526-nucleotide ribosomal RNA is filed under the name Haustrum albomarginatum. RNAcentral describes it as "partial 12S ribosomal RNA". The record is from RNAcentral. Lineage: Eukaryota; Metazoa; Mollusca; Gastropoda; Neogastropoda; Muricidae.